GGAGGAAUAUUGGUCAAUGGGCGAGAGCCUGAACCAGCCAAGUAGCGUGCAGGACGACGGCCCUAUGGGUUGUAAACUGCUUUUAUAUGGGGAUAAAGUGAGUUACGUGUAGCUUAUUGCAGGUACCAUAUGAAUAAGGACCGGCUAAUUCCGUGCCAGCAGCCGCGGUAAUACGGAAGGUCCAGGCGUUAUCCGGAUUUAUUGGGUUUAAAGGGAGCGUAGGCCGCCCCUUAAGCGUGUUGUGAAAUGCCGCGGCUCAACCGUGGCACUGCAGCGCGAACUGGGGGGCUUGAGUGCACGCAACGCAGGCGGAAUUCGUGGUGUAGCGGUGAAAUGCUUAGAUAUCACGAAGAACUCCGAUUGCGAAGGCAGCUUGCGGGAGUGCGACUGACGCUGAAGCUCGAAGGUGCGGGUAUCGAACAGGAUUAGAUACCCUGGUAGU
This 442-nucleotide ribosomal RNA is filed under the name uncultured Prevotella sp. RNAcentral describes it as "bacterial SSU rRNA". It matches the Rfam family "Bacterial small subunit ribosomal RNA", at positions 355 to 794 of the family's 1533-position model. The record is from RNAcentral. Lineage: Bacteria; Pseudomonadati; Bacteroidota; Bacteroidia; Bacteroidales; Prevotellaceae.